RNAcentral lists this ribosomal RNA (300 nucleotides) under uncultured Pontibacter sp. RNAcentral's name for it is "bacterial SSU rRNA". It matches the Rfam family "Bacterial small subunit ribosomal RNA", at positions 496 to 795 of the family's 1533-position model. The record is from RNAcentral. Lineage: Bacteria; Pseudomonadati; Bacteroidota; Cytophagia; Cytophagales; Hymenobacteraceae.
GCUUGUCCGCUGACAGGAGCAGAGGGUAGACGGAGUGGGGAAGUGUUAGCCUGAUUUGUUGGGUUUAAAGGGUCCGUAGGCGUAAUUGUAAGUCAGUGGUGAAAGGUCAUAGUGUAACUAGGAAACUGCCAUGGAGACUGGAGGGUGUGAGGAAAUGUGAAGUGGCUGGAAUAAGUAGUGUAUCGGUGAAAUGCAUAGAUAUUACUUAGAACAGCAAUUGCGAAGGCAGGUCACUAAGAUUUAACUGACGCUGAUGGACGAAAGCGUGGGUAGCGAACAGGAUUAGAUACCCCGGUAGUC